UUGUUGGAAGGGAAGUAGACAAGACUAUCAUGUUCAUUGAAUCUCUAAAUCGUUGAACUCGCGAUUCAAAGGGUGCUCCCAAAUGUCCUACUUCAUCAUAUGGUGGUGGUGCAGCCACCUCUCACCAAAGGGGGAGAUAUGUCCUACUUCAUCCUGUGAUGGUUUCUCUCUGUACUAGUUCGUUUUGUAACUUUCUGAGGUUAUUAGGUUAUGUGGAUUAUAUGGCUGUGCGUUUCUCUUCAAUAGGAGAAGAAUGGCUAUUCUCUCUCUCUCUCUCUCUCUCUCUCUCUUCAAUUGAUGAUGAUGCAGGGCUACAGUUGCUUAAAGUCUUCUGUAGAGGGACUUGAUAGGAUGAUAAUGGUGAUGAUAUCGUCGGAAAUGGAGGUUAAAGAUAAGAGAUAUCAAGGGAGGAAGUUUCAGCUUUAGAGAGAGAAAGACAAGGUGAGGAUUUCUUAUGGGAGAAAGAUAGGAUAAGAUGAAUAGUAUUUUUAUAGGAUUUGUCUUUCCAUGAUCAUAUUCUCUCCAAGAACAAUUAUGAUGGCUAGGGUGGAUAAAAGAGAUGGUAAAUAAUAUAUACUGUUUGUUAGGAAUCCAAUGGUAGCCUCAUCUCCUUUUGUUCUGGAUCUUUUUCACUAUUUAGAUGCAAUUUUAUUUCUUCCUCUCAAUUGUUUGGUAUCCCUUGGUUUUAUCUUCGUUCUUGUUUUACACUUUGGUCUUUUUAUAUUAUUUUUUUAUAUUUUUUAAAUUAUUUUGAAAAAGACAAUAUUAAUACCAGACUUGAUAAAAAAAUUAAUCAAUAAUUUUAAAAUGAAUGCGUUAAUAACUAGACGUGUUGAAAAUAAAUUUUAAAAUUUUAAAUUCUUUUAAAAAGACGUUACAAAUUAUGACAACGAUGUAAAUGCGUCAAAAAUAUUUAGUUAUACAUGAAUAUACAAGUAAAAUUCACUUUAAUUCUAUCAAUUUCUGAAAAGCAUUAAAGUCUUGAAACAUUAAAAUUCACAUUUAUCAUAUAGAAAUAUGAUCAAUCAUCUAAACUAUGACCCACAUCUUUAGUUAUACAUGAAUGAUGAAUAUAUCCAUUGAAUCCGAUCCUCUUCUUUUUCAGGCCAAGUUUUAAUUCAGAUUUUCAUGCUUUACCUUUCUCUUCUGUAUUUCAGACUAUAUGUUUCUUCUUUUUUUGGCUAGUUCGCCAUCAACUUGUCGGCACCAGCUAUUUUAAUAUAUCCUAUCUUGCAAACUUGUCUAAAUUCAUGAAUGAUGAGCCUAUUGGACCUGUGGCCUCCCGUGCUAAUUUUUUUCCAAUCCAUGGCUUGGCUCUUUAUUUUCUUACCUUUUCUUUCUUUUCUUCCAUCAACUCUCUCGCAAGUUUGUCCACAUUUUCUCCCUUGACAUUGCUCUAAAUCUUCAUUCCAAUUCCCCACCUCGCAUGUGUUUGUUUGUUGAUCACCGAAGGAUGGCCAACAAAGCCUAGGCAUGCCAGAAGAAAUGCUCUCAAUUGUUGAACCCCGUCAACAAUGUGUUACCGAACCUCCAAUCUGUUGAUGUUUAAGAACAACUUCUUGUGGACACCAACGAGAUAUAAAGCCCUUCUCUUUAGUUUCUUCAGUGAAUUAUGGUGGCAGUAUUGAGGAGUCGCCAUUGAUCAUCAUGUCAGACCUUAUUAUCCAUAGAAAUGGGUGACCACUUUUAUCAAUUCCCAUUCCAAAUUCAAUGAGCUGCUGCUUUGUAGCGUCCGCUAAGAUGCCAAAAUUCACAUAAAUUACUGAGUUGGGCGUCUUGGAGUCCGGCCAUUAAUUGGAGGCACUCGGCUUCUUCUUUCCAUAGAUUACAUCCAAUUGAAUUCAAAUCAUCUUCUUGCAUUUCAUUGAGAAGUAAUUGAAGUGAACCCAUCUUGUAGGCAUGAGGAAACAUAGAGUGAAGGACUUCUCUUGCUCCGAAGCAUCAAAAGUAAGGAAAAUCCCUUCAGAAGCUCUCUCUGCACAUUCCAAGCACAAGUUAAACAAGCAAUCAUUUGGAUCUGUUGCCCGAACAAAACUUGGAAGAUCCCUUAACCUUAUGUCUUUCAUUCCUGGAAUAUUACAUUCGAGGUGUUGUUUGAUAAUACUGCUUAAAUACAAUACACUAUCAACUUGGAACUUGGAUUGGAUUGGAUUGGAUUGAGGUGUGAAAUUACAAAUAAUAAAACUUUAUAAAAGAGUUAAACAAAAAAACUAAGAAAUUUUAAGAAUAAAGAUCAAAUUAAAAACACCAAUAAACGAUAAAAAAUUAAACAUGUAAAAUUUUUUAACGUG
Molecule: long non-coding RNA, 2291 nt
Filed under: Populus trichocarpa (black cottonwood)
Lineage: Eukaryota; Viridiplantae; Streptophyta; Magnoliopsida; Malpighiales; Salicaceae
Description: long non-coding RNA (PTRI_LNC001650)
Source: RNAcentral